Molecule: ribosomal RNA, 253 nt
Filed under: uncultured bacterium
Lineage: Bacteria
Description: partial 16S ribosomal RNA
Rfam family: Bacterial small subunit ribosomal RNA
Source: RNAcentral
UACGAAGGGGGCUAGCGUUGUUCGGGAUUACUGGGCGUAAAGCGCACGUAGGCGGAUAUUUAAGUCAGGGGUGAAAUCCCAGAGCUCAACUCUGGAACUGCCUUUGAUACUGGGUAUCUUGAGUAUGGAAGAGGUAAGUGGAAUUGCGAGUGUAGAGGUGAAAUUCGUAGAUAUUCGCAGGAACACCAGUGGCGAAGGCGGCUUACUGGUCCAUUACUGACGCUGAGGCUCGAAAGCGUGGGGAGCAAACAGG